Ornithorhynchus anatinus (platypus) is the source of this 364-nucleotide long non-coding RNA. RefSeq lists it as uncharacterized. Lineage: Eukaryota; Metazoa; Chordata; Mammalia; Monotremata; Ornithorhynchidae. The transcript has 2 exons. The record is from RefSeq and is a predicted model, not a curated record.
AGGCAGAAAAAAAAGAAUCAAGAAUGUCAGCACAACCUUGGGAAGACUGUCAAAUAGAGGGUGGAAGUUGUGGGGUAUCAGCCUUCAAACCAACUGUGACACUCAAGGAGGCUACAUAGGACCUGAGCUGUAAGAAUGCUACAGGAGGCUCUGAAGACUGCUAAUGUUGAUGAACGGUUCACCUUAUCUUUCACCUCGAUAGCUGGUAUUUUUCGGUUCCCCCACGGGAUCUGGUGUCCCAAAACAGGCUUGAGUUUCGUUGACCCUUCAUGUCUGUGUGAGGCCGAUUCCCCACAUGUAUGACCUACUAAGGUUAGAACAAUAGAGAUUCUCUAGGAGGGAAACACUCCUCUCCUUUUUACGA